This 200-nucleotide unclassified non-coding RNA is filed under the name Geomyces sp. Its description in RNAcentral is "partial internal transcribed spacer 2". The record is from RNAcentral. Lineage: Eukaryota; Fungi; Ascomycota; Leotiomycetes; Thelebolales; Pseudeurotiaceae.
UUAAGUUCAGCGGGUAUCCCUACCUGAUCCGAGGUCAACCUGAAAAAAAUUGGGGGUUGCUGGCGAGCACACACCCGGACCUCCAGAGCGAGAAGAAUUACUACGCUCGGAGCCGGACGGCACCGCCACUGAUUUUAGGGCCCGCCGGGGCGGCGGGGCCCAACACCAAGCAGGGCUGGAUAGGUUAUAAUGACGCUCGA